This 440-nucleotide ribosomal RNA is filed under the name uncultured bacterium. RNAcentral describes it as "partial 16S ribosomal RNA". It matches the Rfam family "Bacterial small subunit ribosomal RNA", at positions 338 to 795 of the family's 1533-position model. The record is from RNAcentral.
CCUACGGGAGGCAGCAGUGGGGAAUAUUGCACAAUGGGGGAAACCCUGAUGCAGCGACGCCGCGUGAGUGAAGAAGUAUUUCGGUAUGUAAAGCUCUAUCAGCAGGGAAGAUAAUGACGGUACCUGACUAAGAAGCCCCGGCUAACUACGUGCCAGCAGCCGCGGUAAUACGUAGGGGGCAAGCGUUAUCCGGAUUUACUGGGUGUAAAGGGAGCGUAGGUGGCAGGGCAAGUCAGAUGUGAAAACCCGGGGCUCAACCCCGGGAGUGCAUUUGAAACUGUCCAGCUGGAGUGCAGGAGAGGUUGGCGGAAUUCCGAGUGUAGCGGUGAAAUGCGUAGAUAUUCGGAGGAACACCGGUGGCGAAGGCGGCCAACUGGGCUUUAACUGACGCUGAGGCUCGAAAGUGUGGGGAGCAAACAGGAUUAGAUACCCUUGUAGUC